This 253-nucleotide ribosomal RNA is filed under the name uncultured bacterium. RNAcentral's name for it is "partial 16S ribosomal RNA". It matches the Rfam family "Bacterial small subunit ribosomal RNA", at positions 524 to 776 of the family's 1533-position model. The record is from RNAcentral.
GACGGGGGGGGCUAGUGUUAUUCGGAAUGACUGGGCGUAAAGGGCAUGUAGGCGGAUUAUUAAAUUGUUUGUAAAAUUUCAUGGCCUAACUAUGAAAAUACUUUCAAAACUACUAAUCUAGAGUAUACAAAAGGAUAGUGGAAUUUCUAGUGUAGAGCUGAAAUUCAUAAAUAUUAGAAGGACCUCCAGAAGCGAAGGCGACUAUCUAUAUUAUUACUGACGCUGAGGUGCGAAAGCUUGGGUAGCAAACAGG